RNAcentral lists this ribosomal RNA (424 nucleotides) under uncultured bacterium. RNAcentral describes it as "bacterial SSU rRNA". It matches the Rfam family "Bacterial small subunit ribosomal RNA", at positions 354 to 776 of the family's 1533-position model. The record is from RNAcentral.
GUGAGGAAUAUUGGUCAAUGGGCUAAGGCCUGAACCAGCCAAGUCGCGUGAGGGAAGACGGUCCUAUGGAUUGUAAACCUCUUUUGUCGGGGAGCAACGAGGCCACGUGUGGCCGAAGUGAGAGUACCCGAAGAAAAAGCAUCGGCUAACUCCGUGCCAGCAGCCGCGGUAAUACGGAGGAUGCGAGCGUUAUCCGGAUUUAUUGGGUUUAAAGGGUGCGUAGGCGGAACAUUAAGUCAGCGGUAAAAUCGAGGGGCUCAACCCCUUUAAGCCGUUGAAACUGGUGAUCUUGAGUGGGCGAGAAGUAUGCGGAAUGCGUGGUGUAGCGGUGAAAUGCAUAGAUAUCACGCAGAACUCCGAUUGCGAAGGCAGCAUACCGGCGCCCGACUGACGCUGAGGCACGAAAGCGUGGGGAUCGAACAGG